GACAGAGGGUGCAAACGUUGUUCGGAAUUACUGGGCGUAAAGCGCGUGUAGGCUGCUUCGCAAGUCGGAUGUGAAAGCCCUGGGCUCAACCCAGGAAGUGCAUUCGAAACUGCAGAGCUGGAGUCCUGGAGAGGAAGGCGGAAUUCUCGGUGUAGAGGUGAAAUUCGUAGAUAUCGAGAGGAACACCGGUAGCGAAGGCGGCCUUCUGGACAGUGACUGACGCUGAGACGCGAAAGCGUGGGGAGCAAACAGG
This 253-nucleotide ribosomal RNA is filed under the name uncultured bacterium. Its description in RNAcentral is "partial 16S ribosomal RNA". It matches the Rfam family "Bacterial small subunit ribosomal RNA", at positions 524 to 776 of the family's 1533-position model. The record is from RNAcentral.